RNAcentral lists this unclassified non-coding RNA (320 nucleotides) under Psathyrella lutulenta. RNAcentral describes it as "partial internal transcribed spacer region". The stretch from base 1 to 46 matches the Rfam family "Eukaryotic small subunit ribosomal RNA", at positions 1786 to 1831 of the family's 1831-position model. The record is from RNAcentral. Lineage: Eukaryota; Fungi; Basidiomycota; Agaricomycetes; Agaricales; Psathyrellaceae.
AAGUCGUAACAAGGUUUCCGUAGGUGAACCUGCGGAAGGAUCAUUAAUGAAUAUCUAUGGUGCUGGUUGUAGCUGGCUUCUCGGAGCAUGUGCACGCCCACCAUUUUUAUCUUUCCACCUGUGCACUUAAUGUAGAUCUGGAUAACUCUCGCUUUACACGAGCGGAUGCAAGGAUUGCUGCCGUCGCAAGGCCCAGCUCUCUUUGAAUUUCCAGGUCUAUGUACCUUACACACCCCAAUUGUAUAAUGCAGAAUGUAGUCAAUGGGCUUAUAAGCCUAUAAAACGAAAUACAACUUUUAGCAACGGAUCUCUUGGCUCUC